RNAcentral lists this ribosomal RNA (50 nucleotides) under Gloeochaete wittrockiana. RNAcentral's name for it is "partial Bacterial large subunit ribosomal RNA". Lineage: Eukaryota; Glaucocystophyceae; Gloeochaetales; Gloeochaetaceae. The record is from RNAcentral.
GGAUAACAGGCUGAUGGUUUCCAAGAGUCCAUCGACAAAGUUGUUUGGAU